CUGUGCUCCACCUGUGCCCCGUUCGCUCGUCAUCCUCUUUGUGUAUAUAACGUCUGCAUUUCUCUCUUGGGACAGUCCUCCCUAUCACUCUGUGGUCAUUGGUGUGGCAAAGUCCAGCAUUUGGGUCCCGCCUCUGCCAGUCACACAGCCUUGUGUAUAAAUGUUGUUCAGCCUCCAAAAACAUGAUGGGGAUGAGAGACACCAGCUACAGCACUUCCUUUUAAAAACAAAGAAAUUCACCCUCGUCCUGUUUCUGGCGCUACUGGCACGAAAACACCGACCAGCAAACCACCCGGAACUAAAGCAAACAGUACAUUCCCAUCAGGGAUGUAUAAACGAGGGCAUCCUCCAGGGUACACAAACCAGUAUGUGCGCAUGGAAAGUAUUUAACGUCUUUUCAUAGUGAGCGCGCUUUUCAGUGCCUGCAAGCAGUGAGACGGGCCAUAAAGUCCAUCAACGAACUAUGCGGCUAUGGUUGAAAUGUGUUUAUUUAGUUACCCAGAAUGCACAGAGCUUUAAAUGCUGAUCAACUAUGGUGCGAAUUAGGUAUGAGCAACACUCGGGGCAGAAUAUGUUUCAUGUUACUUCCCAAAAAGCAGAAGUUAUCUUCUAAACCUCUUUCAGACCCCUAUUACUAAUGACUUCUCAGCACUGUCCUUCAUAUGAAGUGUGGCAUGAUAAGGCAACUGCAUUUUAAGUUAUUCAUCAAAUCUAUAUUUUGAAAAACUUUUUAUUACUUUUCACUCAAAGCAUUUAUGUCAGAACCCUUGAUAUGUUUUUUUAUGGAAGCUGAAAUCGAGACUUCUUUGAGAUAAAGUGUUGAAAAAAAACAUUUUAAGGGUUUAUUUAUAAUUUAUAAAUUCAGUUUAAUAGUGAUUUUCUAAUUUAAAUAUAAAACUGAAAAACACGAGUGAGAAGGGAAAAAAACAAUCUUCAACCACAAAGCAUUUUACAAAUGAAAGAAACUGGAUUGAUCAAACAAUCUUGAUCACACCCACACAUAGCCACUAACUGGUUAGUCAUUCACCACUGUGGCCUCAGCUUACGGACCGACAUGUGGUAUCUGAUUAUCAAGAACAUAUUUAGGUUUGGCAGUGAACUUCCACUCAGAGAGUGUAUAAUUAAGAUUUAGAGUACUGUUAUUCUGAGAAAGGCAACUGAUCAAAUCCCCCUGACUUUCUAAACGAUAAGCAUGCUGAACUGUAAAUGUCAUUCUAGCUGUUUUGUUGUGUAAAAUUGUGCGCUUGAGUGUGACUGAGUGGGUGUGAGCCAGCUGGCCCAAAAGUCCAGCAGUAGCAGAAGAAAUAAAAAGAGAAUUACCCCAGUUUAGACUGUGAUCCGUCAUACUCCACUCUUCAAGCACCUCUGAAACUGUCAGCACUUAAACAAUGAUAGACAUCUGUGGGCCA
Molecule: long non-coding RNA, 1409 nt
Organism: Oreochromis aureus
Lineage: Eukaryota; Metazoa; Chordata; Actinopteri; Cichliformes; Cichlidae
Exons: 3
Source: RefSeq, a predicted model, not a curated record